Molecule: ribosomal RNA, 1371 nt
Filed under: uncultured organism
Description: bacterial SSU rRNA
Rfam family: Bacterial small subunit ribosomal RNA
Source: RNAcentral
GCAGGCCUAACACAUGCAAGUCGAACGCACCUUCGGGUGAGUGGCAGACGGGUGAGUAACGCGUGGGAACGUGCCCUUCGGUACGGAAUAACUCGGGGAAACUCGAGCUAAUACCGUAUACGUCCUCUGGGAGAAAGAUUUAUCGCCGAAGGAUCGGCCCGCGUUGGAUUAGGUAGUUGGUGGGGUAAAAGCCUACCAAGCCUACGAUCCAUAGCUGGUUUGAGAGGAUGAUCAGCCACAUUGGGACUGAGACACGGCCCAAACUCCUACGGGAGGCAGCAGUGGGGAAUCUUCGGCAAUGGGCGCAAGCCUGACCGAGCCAUGCCGCGUGAGUGAAGAAGGCCCUAGGGUUGUAAAGCUCUUUCACCAGGGACGAUAAUGACGGUACCUGGAGAAGAAGCCCCGGCUAACUCCGUGCCAGCAGCCGCGGUAAUACGGAGGGGGCUAGCGUUGUUCGGAAUCACUGGGCGUAAAGCGCGCGUAGGCGGCUUGGAAAGUCAGAGGUGAAAGCCCGGGGCUCAACUCCGGAAUUGCCUUUGAAACUUCCUCGCUUGAGAUCAGGAGAGGUGAGCGGAAUUCCUAGUGGAGAGGUGAAAUUCGCAGAGAUUAGGAAGAACACCGGUGGCGAAGGCGGCUCACUGGCCUGGAUCUGACGCUGAGGUGCGAAAGCGUGGGGAGCAAACAGGAUUAGAUACCCUGGUAGUCCACGCCGUAAACGAUGGAUGCUAGUUGUCGGGCAGCAUGCUGUUCGGUGACGCAGCUAACGCAUUAAGCAUCCCGCCUGGGGAGUACGGCCGCAAGGCUAAAACUCAAAGAAAUUGACGGGGGCCCGCACAAGCGGUGGAGCAUGUGGUUUAAUUCGAAGCAACGCGAAGAACCUUACCAGCCCUUGACUUCCUGGUCGCGGUUUCCGGAGACGGAUUCCUUCAGUUCGGCUGGACCGGUGACAGGUGUUGCACGGCUGUCGUCAGCUCGUGUCGUGAGAUGUUGGGUUAAGUCCCGCAACGAGCGCAACCCUCGCCCUUAGUUGCCAGCGAUACGGUCGGGCACUCUAAGGGGACCGCCGGUGAUAAGCCGGAGGGAGGUGGGGAUGACGUCAAGUCAUCGUGGCCCUUACGGGCUGGGCUACACACGUGCUACAAUGGCGAUGACAGUGGGAUAAUCCACAAAAGUCGUCUCAGUUCGGAUUGUCUUCUGCAACUCGAAGGCAUGAAGGUGGAAUCGCUAGUAAUCGCGGAUCAGCAUGCCGCGGUGAUACGUUCCCGGGCCUUGUACACACCGCCCGUCACACCAUGGGAGUUGGCUUUACCCGAAGACGGUGCGCUAACAUUAGAGGCAGCCGGCCACGGUAAGGUCAGCGACUGGGGUGAA